UGAGGUAGGUGUGAGAAAUGA
RNAcentral lists this microRNA (21 nucleotides) under Caenorhabditis briggsae. RNAcentral describes it as "cbr-miR-241". Its record names the gene cbr-miR-241. The record is from miRBase by way of RNAcentral. Lineage: Eukaryota; Metazoa; Nematoda; Chromadorea; Rhabditida; Rhabditidae.